GCGUGGACCCCUCGGAAGCCUGUCAUAUGACGAGGGCGUGCGAUGACGUCACCGUCAUCUCACACUGGUGAAAUCCGAGGUGGGCGAGAGCGAGACGGUGGGGUGAGAUCAAGCGCUACAGUCCGGACGGACGAUUAGCGAAAUAGAAUACUCUUACUGACGCAGAAGUGAGGUUUGGGACUAUAAAACAUUGCUGAUAAUUCCAGAAGGACAAUAACAAGGUAAGAACACGUACGUCCUUGUUUUGUUUGUGUGUAGCUGCGAAGCUCGUAAUAAGGUGUGUUAAUAGGAUGAUCGCAGAGAGAUAUAAAUAGGGUUAAUAAUAACGAAGGACAUUAAUGGCAGUCUGUGGAAGAGAGAGCGAGUCGUGGUACAGUAAUGAUCCAGGUGAGGUGACACUGAUGUAGCUUCAGCGCACCGAGGCCCCGAUCGAGCGCCUGGAAAUGUGCGGCACCGCACUGCAAAACACCAGCAGCGCAAGGUGUGAUAUAACCAUGAAUGAUACAGUAGCAACACAUAAAGGGACCUAAGCAUGAAAACACCGUGAAGGCGAAUGCCGACUCUCGGUGUAUAAUCUGCCAUGCCUGGCAACUGCGCGAAAUGAAAGCUGAUUAACGGAGAGAAGCGCCUUACAGUCGCGGCUCUGCCCAGUUUAUUCGGCAGCUGUGACACACAUUCAUUAACGGUUAGUUUUCACGUCUCAGUUUGUGACGUCGUGCCUGUCCGGCACAUCCAUGCAUAAUCAGGCAGCCUCUCGUGGGUCUCCGGAGGCAAACUGAAGCGAACCAAGCCCGGACGGGCAGAGCCUCCUCCGCCGGGCGCGUCGCUGCAGCCCGAAGCAACAUGGCUGUCGGCCGGGAGCUGGGCUGCCGGGGAGCAUCGCGUCCGUGUCUGGGCAAGCAAUCCGCUUUCAGCGCCUGGGUAUCCCGCUUUUAGGAAUGGGAAGGAAAACUCAUUCAGCCAAGGUGCUGGCUCACAGCCCUGAAUGCUCUGCCGUGUUGGGCCGCAGUCCGGUCCGGUCCCGCACCGCUGCGGCACAGUCCAGUACCGCAGUGUAGCGUGUGUCGGGCCCGCCUUCCCGACCCGACCUGACCCGUCCGGAGGCGGAGGUGGUUGACUGAAUUUCUACUUUAGAGUUACGACAAGGCAGCUGUUUUCUCGACGGAACCGGUCUUUAGCAUGCGAUUAAAGUCUUCUUUGAUUUGCGUUUCUAAACCAAACCGUUUUGAUGUGUAUCUAUGAGAGAAACCCCCCGGUAUGUAGUUUUAUCCAGCGGUUAACCGGCUGCAGUCAAUGUUUACAAGCGUUUGGCUCAAACAUUUUGAGUUCUCUGUUUCAGUCUGUCUAAAGCACGUUAGACGGGGUUUUCUUUUGAACAAAGUAG
This 1384-nucleotide long non-coding RNA is filed under the name Lepisosteus oculatus (spotted gar). Its description in RNAcentral is "lncRNA (ENSLOCG00000022293.1)". Lineage: Eukaryota; Metazoa; Chordata; Actinopteri; Semionotiformes; Lepisosteidae. The record is from RNAcentral.